This 391-nucleotide ribosomal RNA is filed under the name Stypella subgelatinosa. RNAcentral's name for it is "partial large subunit ribosomal RNA". It matches the Rfam family "Eukaryotic large subunit ribosomal RNA", at positions 76 to 460 of the family's 3401-position model. The record is from RNAcentral. Lineage: Eukaryota; Fungi; Basidiomycota; Agaricomycetes; Auriculariales; Hyaloriaceae.
UCCCCUAGUAACGGCGAGUGAAGAGGGAAAAGCUCAAAUUUAAAAUCUGGCGGUCUUCGGCCGUCCGAGUUGUAGUUUAGAGAGGUGCUUUCCGCGCUGGACCGUGUACAAGUCCCCUGGGAUGGGGCGUCAUAGAGGGUGAGAAUCCCGUCCAUGACACGGACUACCAGGGCUAUGUGAUGCGCCUUCAAAGAGUCGAGUUGUUUGGGAAUGCAGCUCAAAAUGGGUGGUAAACUCCAUCUAAAGCUAAAUAUUGGCGAGAGACCGAUAGCGAACAAGUACCGUGAGGGAAAGAUGAAAAGAACUUUGGAAAGAGAGUUAAACAGUGCGUGAAAUUGCUGAAAGGGAAACGCUUGAAGUCAGUCGCGUUCGGNGGNACUCAGCCUUGNUU